Molecule: ribosomal RNA, 595 nt
Filed under: Dorylaimoidea environmental sample
Lineage: Eukaryota; Metazoa; Nematoda; Enoplea; Dorylaimida
Description: SSU rRNA
Rfam family: Eukaryotic small subunit ribosomal RNA
Source: RNAcentral
UCUAACCGGUAAACGAUGACAACCAGCGAUUAGUCGGCGUUAAUAUAUGACCCGACUAGCAGCUUCCGGGAAACCAAAGUUUUUCGUUUCCGGGGGAAGUAUGGUUGCAAAGCUGAAACUUAAAGGAAUUGACGGAAGGGCACCACCAGGAGUGGAGCCUGCGGCUUAAUUUGACUCAACACGGGAAAACUCACCCGGCCCGGACACCGUAAGGAUUGACAGACUGAGAGCUCUUUCUUAAUUCGGUGGGUGGUGGUGCAUGGCCGUUCUUAGUUGGUGGAGCGAUUUGUCUGGUUAAUUCCGAUAACGAACGAGACUCUGGCCUAUUAAAUAGACGAUAUAUUUAAAAGUAUAUCGCGCUUCUUAGAGGGACAAGCGGCGUCUAGCCGCAUGAAAUAGAGCAAUAACAGGUCUGUGAUGCCCUUAGAUGUCCGGGGCUGCACGCGCGCUACACUGAAAGAAUCAGAGUGCGUUUUGCCUAGUUCGGAAGAACCGGGUAACCCAAGUAAAUUCUUUCGUGCUUGGGAUAGGGAAUUGCAAUUAUUUCCCUUAAACGAGGAAUUCCCCAGUAAAUGCGGGUCAUAAGCUCGCGUUG